AUUGAACGCUGGCGGCAGGCCUAACACAUGCAAGUCGAGCGGAUGAAGGGAGCUUGCUCCUGGAUUCAGCGGCGGACGGGUGAGUAAUGCCUAGGAAUCUGCCUGGUAGUGGGGGAUAACGUCCGGAAACGGGCGCUAAUACCGCAUACGUCCUGAGGGAGAAAGUGGGGGAUCUUCGGACCUCACGCUAUCAGAUGUGCCUAGGUCGGAUUAGCUAGUUGGUGGGGUAAAGGCCUACCAAGGCGACGAUCCGUAAAUGGUCUGAGAGGAUGAUCAGUCACACUGGAACUGAGACACGGUCCAGACUCCUACGGGAGGCAGCAGUGGGGAAUAUUGGACAAUGGGCGAAAGCCUGAUCCAGCCAUGCCGCGUGUGUGAAGAAGGUCUUCGGAUUGUAAAGCACUUUAAGUUGGGAGGAAGGGCAGUAAGUUAAUACCUUGCUGUUUUGACGUUACCAACAGAAUAAGCACCGGCUAACUUCGUG
RNAcentral lists this ribosomal RNA (484 nucleotides) under uncultured bacterium. RNAcentral's name for it is "partial 16S ribosomal RNA". It matches the Rfam family "Bacterial small subunit ribosomal RNA", at positions 30 to 507 of the family's 1533-position model. The record is from RNAcentral.